AGACCUUCAGCUUUACCAUUUUCAUCCAGGGCGAUGAGUAAUGUUAAAUCAUCACUAGGAUCAGCUUGACCCACAUGCUGAUAAAGUGGACCGACAGGGAUGAUUGAUCCACCAAGCAAAUAUAGUGCAGGUAAAUCCGGAUGUGAAUCGUCAAAAUCAAAACUCAACCAAAUGCCCCUUGGUAAUUUGUGAUGAGCUGUAUCCAAUUCCUCAUCACGCUGAGUGCUUGCAUAUAUAAGAAUUGGUCCCAGCAAAAAUGAGUUCUCAAGUUUCCUCAGCUCGGGGUCUUUUGGAUCAGCAAAAAAGAUAGGAGCAGAGACCGGAGUACCCCUCGUGUGUGCUAAGUAAAAGAGUGUGUAAAUGUGUGGUAGAAGACGGUAGCGCCGCUCCAAUGCCAAGCGGCAAACUUCCUCGCACUCCUCCCCAAAUGACCAAGGUUCGUGAUCAUUUGUGUCAGCCUCAGAAUGGGCACGGCAGAAGGGAAACAGGGAACCAACACCCAUCCACCUCCCAAACAUCCGGGGAGUUGCAUUUCCAGCAAAGCCACCUAUAUCUGGUCCUGUAAGUGGCUGACCACUGAGCCCCAGUUGAAGAACCAUGGGGAUACUCAUCU
RNAcentral lists this unclassified non-coding RNA (613 nucleotides) under Hevea brasiliensis (rubber tree). Lineage: Eukaryota; Viridiplantae; Streptophyta; Magnoliopsida; Malpighiales; Euphorbiaceae. The record is from RNAcentral.